UGCCACCAAGCCAUUUGUCUGUGAUUUUAUCAGGUUUUGGGGGAAAUAAGUUAAAUUCACAAGACGCCGUUCAUCUGGCUGUUGUUCAGAGGCAUCGGCUCUCGUCGUGGCAGAUAUCCAGAGAUGAGAGGAAUCCACGGCCCUGUGAAAGCAACGCAGAGUUAAUGACUCACGAACUGCUGAUUCAAGGCAGACGGUGUCAUUGAUGGUCCUGUCCUUCACCGCAGAGGAACUCGUCACAUGUCUCACCGCUUCAAGAUCUGAAUCUGAAAUCUCGAGAAAUGAAGACUCAGAAGACUGCUGUUAUAUUGCACAUUGUGCUGCCGUAUCUUUUCAAAGCUAACAGAAUAAGUGGCUGAUGGCGCUGGAUAGUCAUCCAAGAAUAAAAAAAAAUAAAUAAAAAAAACAGUCAAGGUUAACUAUUUUGUAACAGCUGCUGGUGGCAGAAGCAGGUACAGAAAAACAUUUCCUGAGCAACACGUGUCUCGGAUUAAGAACAAAAACAUUAUUUUAAUCAAGAAAAUAGUCAUUUCCUGUCAGCCUUUCACAAUAAAAGCAGGCCCUUACGUUGCCAUUUGAAUGAUAUUGAUAUGAAGAGGAGCCGGUAACUUAAUUCAAUGUGCUCAGGGGAACGGAGCAGUAAACAGUGAGGCUGUCAACAACGUGACAUAAGACACUGGAUUACAUUCAUACAUCGAUUCCAGGGGCAAUUUAAAUCCUGCACAUGGAUGAAC
Molecule: long non-coding RNA, 734 nt
Organism: Mugil cephalus (flathead mullet)
Lineage: Eukaryota; Metazoa; Chordata; Actinopteri; Mugiliformes; Mugilidae
Exons: 3
Source: RefSeq, a predicted model, not a curated record